This 332-nucleotide unclassified non-coding RNA is filed under the name soil metagenome. Its description in RNAcentral is "partial contains 5.8S ribosomal RNA, internal transcribed spacer 2, and large subunit ribosomal RNA". The stretch from base 1 to 120 matches the Rfam family "5.8S ribosomal RNA", at positions 35 to 154 of the family's 154-position model. The record is from RNAcentral.
GAUGAAGAACGUAGCGAAAUGCGAUAAGUAAUGUGAAUUGCAGAAUUCAGUGAAUCAUUGAAUCUUUGAACGCACAUUGCGCCCGCCAGUAUUCUGGCGGGCAUGCCUGUCCGAGCGUCAUUUCAACCAUCAAGCCCCGGGCUUGUGUUGGGGACCUGCGUCCGACGCAGGCCCUGAAAACCAGUGGCGGGCUCGCUGUCCACACCGAGCGUAGUAACUAACCUCGCUAUGGAGUGGCGCGGGCGCCUGCCGUAAAACCCCCAAUUUCACAAGGUUGACCUCGGAUCAGGUAGGAAUACCCGCUGAACUUAAGCAUAUCAAUAAGCGGAGGA